Molecule: long non-coding RNA, 556 nt
Organism: Poecilia latipinna (sailfin molly)
Lineage: Eukaryota; Metazoa; Chordata; Actinopteri; Cyprinodontiformes; Poeciliidae
Exons: 3
Source: RefSeq, a predicted model, not a curated record
AAACUAGACAAAAAUAAUUCGUACAAUUUUGUGUUUUUACAGUGUGAGACCUUUAAUAAGAUCAACUUUUCCCCCAUCAGCUUCUACCACAAGCGCAGCAAUUACAUCAAGAAGAAGAACAACAGCAACAGCAACAACAGCAGCAACUCAGAGUAAGAGUUUCUCUCCUUCUCCAUCUGAAACCAUCAAACUAUCUGAGAAACCAGCUGCAGCUUCAGGUCUGCAGCUUUAUGUGGUUUUGUCUUUGGUUGUCAAAAUCAUCUUGUUAUCAACGUCUUUGGUUAUUUUCUGCAUGAAGAGGAGGGCCAUGAACAGCAAAGAGUUUUAUUAAUCCAGAACAAGUGUCUGUCUGAAGCUUCAUUGAACAUAUUGGAAGAAUCAGCAGAGCAGUCAGAUCCCUAAACAGGAAGGAGUAAAAAUAAAGAUUCAGCAACAAAUUUACAGAAAUAGGAAAGUUAUUUAUAAACAUUAAACUGUGUUCCUCUUUCAGCUGCAUCAUUUCUAGAGAACAAAAUGUUUCCAACAUGCUCUGAUCAUCAGUCAGCUGUGGUUUUCU